GACAAACGCUGGCGGCAUGCCUAACACAUGCAAGUCGAACGGACAGAACAGGAGAUCUUUUCUCAGUGGAUCUGGAAGGUUGGGUGCGUAUGGGGUGGUAACCCUUGGACAACCUACCUUGUAAAUGCGAAUAACCUCGAGAAAUCGAAGCUAAUACCCCGUAAUACCCUUUCUUCUCGUGAAAGAAGGAUUUAAGGCGACCUUAAGGCUGUCGAUACACGCUUGAUCCGCGUCGUAUUAGCUAGUUGGUCAGGUAAAGGCUUACCAAGGCGACGAUGCGUAGCCGACCUGAGAGGGUGAACGGCCACACUGGAACUGAGACACGGUCCAGACUCCUACGGGAGGCAGCAGUAGGGAAUCUUCCGCAAUGGGCGAAAGCCUGACGGAGCAACGCCGCGUGAGUGAUGAAGGUCUUCGGAUCGUAAAACUCUGUUAUUAGGGAAGAGCGAAUGUUUAAGUAACUAUGAACGUCUGGACGGUACCUGAGCAGAAAGCCACGGCUAACUACGUG
This 511-nucleotide ribosomal RNA is filed under the name uncultured bacterium. Its description in RNAcentral is "partial 16S ribosomal RNA". It matches the Rfam family "Bacterial small subunit ribosomal RNA", at positions 28 to 507 of the family's 1533-position model. The record is from RNAcentral.